Molecule: ribosomal RNA, 240 nt
Filed under: Synechococcus sp. KORDI-54
Lineage: Bacteria; Bacillati; Cyanobacteriota; Cyanophyceae; Synechococcales; Synechococcaceae
Description: partial 16S ribosomal RNA
Rfam family: Bacterial small subunit ribosomal RNA
Source: RNAcentral
AGAUCGUAGGCUGCAACUCGCCUACCUGAAGGAGGAAUCGCUAGUAAUCGCAGGUCAGCAUACUGCGGUGAAUACGUUCCCGGGCCUUGUACACACCGCCCGUCACACCAUGGAAGUUGGCCACGCCCGAAGCCGUUACUCCAACCCUUGUGGAGGAGGACGUCGAAGGUGGGGCUGAUGACUGGGGUGAAGUCGUAACAAGGUAGCCGUACCGGAAGGUGCGGCUGGAUCACCUCCUAA